Molecule: microRNA precursor, 67 nt
Filed under: Mustela putorius furo (domestic ferret)
Lineage: Eukaryota; Metazoa; Chordata; Mammalia; Carnivora; Mustelidae
Description: miRNA (ENSMPUG00000023791.1)
Source: RNAcentral
UUUGUGUAUAUGCAUGUGUGCAUGCAUGUACACAUGAGACAGGCACACACAUACACACAUACCCAUA